Molecule: ribosomal RNA, 292 nt
Filed under: uncultured bacterium
Lineage: Bacteria
Description: partial 16S ribosomal RNA
Rfam family: Bacterial small subunit ribosomal RNA
Source: RNAcentral
GUGUCAGCCGCCGCGGUAAUACGGAGGAGGCAAGCGUUAUCCGGAAUUAUUGGGCGUAAAGCGUCCGUAGGUGGUUUAGAAAGUCUGCUGUCAAAGGCUGGGGCUUAACUCCAGACAGGCAGUGGAAACUACUAGACUAGAGUGCGGUAGGGGCAGAGGGAAUUCCCAGUGUAGCGGUGAAAUGCGUAGAUAUUGGGAAGAACACCGGUGGCGAAAGCGCUCUGCUGGACCUGUACUGACACUGAGGGACGAAAGCUAGGGGAGCGAAAGGGAUUAGAAACCCCAGUAGUCC